RNAcentral lists this unclassified non-coding RNA (291 nucleotides) under uncultured fungus. Its description in RNAcentral is "sequence contains ITS2". Lineage: Eukaryota; Fungi. The record is from RNAcentral.
AACGCACCUUGCACCCUGUGGCUUACCACAGGGUACACCCGUUCGAGUGUCACGUAAACCAUCGCCUAAGCAAAAGCUUGCUUUUGCCCUGGCGGAACUGGACGCCUGCCGUUGUUGGCUCGUCCGAAAUGUAUUAGCGAGGGUGGUCUGCCUAAACUGCUUGGCGUGAUAUUUACUUUUCUCGCCUGUCGGUCGGUCUGGGUGGACGGCUCUGCUCCGAAUCCCGUCGCGUCGACGGAACAUUAUUCAAAGUUUGACCUCGAAUCGGGUGGGACUACCCGCUGAACUUAA